UCUUACUGAUGAGCAAAGAAAGUAGUUUUCUUGAGAUGGAGUCUACUCCAGGUGAAGAUAACUUCGGA
Molecule: microRNA precursor, 68 nt
Filed under: Marmota monax (woodchuck)
Lineage: Eukaryota; Metazoa; Chordata; Mammalia; Rodentia; Sciuridae
Source: RNAcentral